Molecule: ribosomal RNA, 432 nt
Filed under: uncultured bacterium
Lineage: Bacteria
Description: bacterial SSU rRNA
Rfam family: Bacterial small subunit ribosomal RNA
Source: RNAcentral
CGCGAAGAACCUUACCAAAUCCUGACAUCCUUUGACAACUCUAGAGAUAGAGCUUUCCUCUUCGGAGGACAAAGUGACAGGUGGUGCAUGGUUGUCGUCAGCUCGUGUCGUGAGAUGUUGGGUUAAGUCCCGCAACGAGCGCAACCCUUGAACUUAGUUGCCAUCAUUUAGUUGGGCACUCUAAGUUGACUGCCGGUGACAAACCGGAGGAAGGUGGGGAUGACGUCAAAUCAUCAUGCCCCUUAUGAUUUGGGCUACACACGUGCUACAAUGGACAAUACAAAGGGCAGCGAAACCGCGAGGUCAAGCAAAUCCCAUAAAGUUGUUCUCAGUUCGGAUUGUAGUCUGCAACUCGACUACAUGAAGCUGGAAUCGCUAGUAAUCGUAGAUCAGCAUGCUACGGUGAAUACGUUCCCGGGUCUUGUACACACC